Molecule: ribosomal RNA, 257 nt
Filed under: uncultured bacterium
Lineage: Bacteria
Description: partial 16S ribosomal RNA
Rfam family: Bacterial small subunit ribosomal RNA
Source: RNAcentral
GUCCACGCCGUAAACGAUGGAUACUAGCUGUUGGGAAGUAAUUUCAGUGGUUAAGCGAAAGUGAUAAGUAUCCCACCUGGGGAGUACGUUCGCAAGAAUGAAACUCAAAGGAAUUGACGGGGGCCCCGCACAAGCGGUGGAGCAUGUGGUUUAAUUCGAUGAUACGCGAGGAACCUUACCAAGGCUUAAAUGUAGUUUGACAGAUUUGGAAACAGAUUUUUCUUCGGACAAAUUACAAGGUGCUGCAUGGUUGUCGU